GACGAACGCUGGCGGCGUGCUUAACACAUGCAAGUCGAACGGAAAGGCCCUGCUCUUGUGUGGUUCUCGUUUGGCGAGCGGGGGAGUAACACGUGUGUAUCCUGCCCUUGUCUGUGGGAGAACUCUAGGAAACUGGGGCUAAUAUCGGAGAGGAGCUCCUGCUGCAUGGUGGGGGUUGGAAAGUGUCGGCGGUUGUGGAUGGACUCGCGGCUUAUGAGCUUGUUGGUGGGGUAGUGACGUACCAAGGUUUUGAAGGGUAGGCGGCCUGAGAGGGUGACCGGCCACAUUGGUACUGAGAGACGGCCCAGAAUGCUACGGGCGGCAGCAGUGGGGAAUCUUGCACAACGGGCGGAAGCCUGAUGUAGCAACGCCGCGUGCGGGAUGCCGGCCUUCGGGUUGUAAACCGCUUUCGACUGUGACGAAGCGUGAGUGACGGUACUGGGUAAAGAAGCACCGGCUAACUACGUG
This 468-nucleotide ribosomal RNA is filed under the name uncultured bacterium. Its description in RNAcentral is "partial 16S ribosomal RNA". It matches the Rfam family "Bacterial small subunit ribosomal RNA", at positions 28 to 507 of the family's 1533-position model. The record is from RNAcentral.